RNAcentral lists this non-coding RNA (28 nucleotides) under Rattus norvegicus (Norway rat). The record is from RNAcentral. Lineage: Eukaryota; Metazoa; Chordata; Mammalia; Rodentia; Muridae.
UCCCCUUAAUGAAAUCAUGCACUCAGAC